Molecule: long non-coding RNA, 628 nt
Organism: Dalotia coriaria
Lineage: Eukaryota; Metazoa; Arthropoda; Insecta; Coleoptera; Staphylinidae
Exons: 2
Source: RefSeq, a predicted model, not a curated record
AUUAAAUUCAUCAGUCAGAUGAAUGUCAAAUGAUUGUUUAAUCGCAGAGAAGAAGCGUUUUGGCUCUCCCCCUUUAGCUGUAACAGUCGUCUGCUUCCUUCGAGCCCUUUUCUUGCAAGCAGCGCGUAGAAAAUGCGCCGGAAAGUGUCGGAAAUGUUGUACUUCACUCUUGCGACUCCAAAUUGGAUCGUUUCACUUUAAUCACAUUCACCAUCGCAAUCGCAAUCAACAUUAACGUCCAACGGGCCACUCUGACUCAAAGCUGAAAGGCAACUAGAACUGUUGAAAACGUUUUCAUUUCGUUCGUAACUAUUGCAAUUGAAUGCGUCGUUCCGAAUAUGAUCGGAUUGUAUUCAAUGCACAAUCACACAUGUAUUGUGUGUUGUCCUGGCCAGCAGACAUCAAUCAGUCGGAAUUUACGCCGCUCGGAUUUUGCGUUUGUACACUGCAACAAUACAUAACCAACAAUGACAGCGCCCCUUUUAGAAAUGCACUCGCAAUGCAAUCAUUGACAGUGCAUUACAGUGUGGCUAGUAAUUACAUUUCAAAAUGUUAAGCGCCAAAGCAUCAGGAGGGGUGCAAUAUUAUAGCGUACCGUUACCGUAAUACACACAAAGUAUCAUUAGUG